GCGAGUCUUUGCAGUAAUGCAAGGCAUACGGCUCAGUAACACGUAGUCAACUUACCCUAUGGACGAGGAUAAUCUCGGGAAACUGAGCAUAAUACUCGAUAGAUCAUAAUGCCUGGAAUGGUUUAUGGUUGAAAUGAUUCGUCGCCAUAGGAUGGGACUGCGGCCUAUCAGCUUGUUGGUGAGGUAAUGGCCCACCAAGGCGAUUACAGGUACGGGCUCUGAGAGGAGAGGCCCGGAGAUGGGUACUGAGACAAGGACCCAGGCCCUAUGGGGCGCAGCAGGCGAGAAAACUUUGCAAUGUGCGAAAGCACGACAAGGUUAAUCCGAGUGAUUUCUGCUAAAGGAAUCUUUUGCCAGUUCUAAAAAUACUAGUGAAUAAGGGGUGGGCAAGUUCUGGUGUCAGCCGCCGCGGUAAAACCAGCACCUCAAGUGGUCAGGAGGAUUAUUGGGCCUAAAGCAUCCGUAGCCUGCUCUGUAAGUUUUCGGUUAAAUCUAUAUGCUCAACGUAUAGGCUGCCGAAAAUACUGCAGUGCUAGGAAGUGGGAGAGGUAGACGGUACUUGAUAGGAAGGGGUAAAAUCCUUUGAUCUAUCGAUGACCACCUGUGGCGAAGGCGGUCUACCAGAACACGUUCGACGGUGAGGGAUGAAAGCUGGGGGAGCAAACCGGAUUAGAUACCCGGGUAGUCCCAGCUGUAAACGAUGCAGACUCGAUGAUGCAUUGGCAUAUAGCCAGUGCAGUGUCGCAGGGAAGCCGUUAAGUCUGCCGCCUGGGAAGUACGUACGCAAGUAUGAAACUUAAAGGA
RNAcentral lists this ribosomal RNA (804 nucleotides) under uncultured archaeon. RNAcentral describes it as "bacterial SSU rRNA". It matches the Rfam family "Archaeal small subunit ribosomal RNA", at positions 53 to 863 of the family's 1478-position model. The record is from RNAcentral.